RNAcentral lists this ribosomal RNA (253 nucleotides) under uncultured bacterium. Its description in RNAcentral is "partial 16S ribosomal RNA". It matches the Rfam family "Bacterial small subunit ribosomal RNA", at positions 524 to 776 of the family's 1533-position model. The record is from RNAcentral.
UACGGAGGGGGCUAGCGUUGUUCGGAAUUACUGGGCGUAAAGCGCACGUAGGCGGCUAUUCAAGUCAGAGGUGAAAGCCCGGGGCUCAACCCCGGAAUUGCCUUUGAAACUAGAUAGCUCGAAUCUGGGAGAGGUGAGUGGAAUUCCGAGUGUAGAGGUGAAAUUCGUAGAUAUUCGGAAGAACACCAGUGGCGAAGGCGGCGCACUGGACCAGUAUUGACGCGGAGGUGCGAAAGCGUGGGGAGCAAACAGG